Molecule: long non-coding RNA, 770 nt
Filed under: Zalophus californianus (California sea lion)
Lineage: Eukaryota; Metazoa; Chordata; Mammalia; Carnivora; Otariidae
Description: lncRNA (ENSZCAG00015012474.1)
Source: RNAcentral
CAUGAAUGUGAAAGAUUCUAAAUAUGGGUUCCAAGAAUUUGCUUUUGGAGGUUUUUAGUUAUGGAGCAGAGUCUAUACAUGUGGCUCAAGUCUGCUGACUGCCCUAUUUUGGAGGUCCCAGGAUCAACAGGAGGAUGAAUAACUAUGAUGAGCUGCUGGAACCCAAUCUGGAUGGAGGAGGCUGACAAUAAAGGGGAUUGCUCUUCUUGCAGACAAUUAGGUAUUUGAGUGGUGGUGAAGGAGAAGAGGAGGCCCCAGAAAAGAUACCCCAACUACUGGGAAGACUCUGCUGAGGAACCACCCAGUGCUACCUGUCUUCCCGGAGCAGGGAGAGCAGGCUCCUCCCUCAGGGGUCCAACCAGGAGGCUGGUGAGUCCCUUUGCCUAUCAGCACCUGUGACCAGCAGGGAAGGAAGGGGCAUUGUUUUCAGGGGGGUUUCAGUCAUAAGACCUUUGAUGCUGUAGGCCAUGACCCAAGCCACGGUAGGCUGAGAAGGACUUCCUUCCUGUGUCCACCUGCAGAACAGCAGAGGUCCUGCUCAUGAGGAAUCCAUGGCUCAAUUCUUGCCACCCACUUACCUUUAUCUGCAGGAUGGUCUAAUCCAUACUUGUUCUUGGUGCUAAUUUACAUGCCCUUCCUGGGAACUAUUUAUGUUAGGAGAACGCUUUGGGUACAAGUGACAGAAACCUAACUUAAACAAAAGGGGGCUCUGAACCCCCAUAACCCACUCUCAGGCAGGAGGGCUGCCUUAGGGAUCACUGCAGCCAGGG